RNAcentral lists this transfer RNA (76 nucleotides) under Bacilli bacterium. RNAcentral's name for it is "tRNA-Lys". It matches the Rfam family "tRNA". From Rfam's summary of the family: Transfer RNA (tRNA) molecules are approximately 80 nucleotides in length. Their secondary structure includes four short double-helical elements and three loops (D, anti-codon, and T loops). Further hydrogen bonds mediate the characteristic L-shaped molecular structure. tRNAs have two regions of fundamental functional importance: the anti-codon, which is responsible for specific mRNA codon recognition, and the 3' end, to which the tRNAs corresponding amino acid is attached (by aminoacyl-tRNA synthetases). tRNAs cope with the degeneracy of the genetic code in two manners: having more than one tRNA (with a specific anti-codon) for a particular amino acid; and 'wobble' base-pairing, i.e. permitting non-standard base-pairing at the 3rd anti-codon position. The record is from RNAcentral. Lineage: Bacteria; Bacillati; Bacillota; Bacilli. RNAcentral also lists the same sequence under 1 other name.
GUCUCCUUAGCUCAGUAGGUAGAGCAACAGACUCUUAAUCUGUGGGUCGUGGGUUCGAAGCCCUCAGGGGACACCA